This is a long non-coding RNA of Helianthus annuus (common sunflower), 1267 nucleotides long. RefSeq lists it as uncharacterized. The transcript has 3 exons. NCBI's taxonomy places the organism in Eukaryota, Viridiplantae, Streptophyta, Magnoliopsida, Asterales, Asteraceae. The record is from RefSeq and is a predicted model, not a curated record.
CAGCUGAGGAAAACAAACACGGUGAUCUUCUCCACAGGUAUCUGUACCUCUUUCGGCGGGUUGACAUUAGGCAAGUUCAGAAAACCACUCAAUAUCUCAUUAGAUCUGUAAUGGUAAUAUUUUUCUUUUGUAUAUUCUUGUUGUGAAACUUGUUUUCUUUAUUUUUCUUCGUCUAGCAUCAGUAGUUGAUUUUAUGGGUGGGAAAAUGAGUGGGUUUGGUAACAAUUCGUAAGGGGUAAUGUUUUCAUGCAGGUUGGAGUGGUUGUGCCGUGCUGGUCACACUUUUUGUUCACUUUCUAAAAUGUGUUCAUAAAUUAUUUGCGUUAAAUAGGCUUAUAUUAUUAAAUAAAUUGUAAGGUUUGGAGUAAAGUGAUUUAGUAAGGUUGUUUGCACUAAAAAUGCACUUCAAACUUUUGACCCAUUUAGCCUGCCCUUUGGCAGCUAGGUUUAGCAAGUGUUCCCUGUGAUACCGGGUCCGUUAGUUAUGCAUAUCUAUGUUGUCAAAGAUGCAAGGCGGCAAGGUGCAUAGGCUGAUCCCAGAACUUAAAAAAACAUGAUGGGGAGAAGGGUGUUUCGGGCCUUUCGGCGGUGGAGGGUAGUAUUGUAAUUUCGGAGAAAGUGUCGAGUGCGGCUGGGACGGUAGCGCGAAACGUGUUUGAAGUGGAUUGUGUACCGUAGUGGGUUUCACUUCUAUCUGUGGAAGGAGACCCGAGAUGGAAGAUGUGGUUGCGACUGUGCCUAGAUUCUUAAAGGUCCCUAUUCAAAUGUUGACCGGUGACUGCGGUGUUGUUGACCGUUGAGCAGACGUUUGAACCAUUUGACCACCCAUUUCUUUGGGGUCUAUGAUGGGCAUGGUGGUUCUCAGGGAAUAGAUGAGCAAGUGGAAGACUUGGGAAACCAAAACAAAUACAAAACAACACAGGUCCUCUAGAUGCAAGAAGUUCACCAAAGCCGCAUUAUAGGAUGAGAUACAUUCAAACCAUAAGAUAUAUAUUAUAUUAAUAUGUUUUAAUGUUUUUCUAAUUCAUCUUUUAAUUAAUUCUUAAACGCAAGCAAUCCUGGGAACAAAGGAGAACGACAACACUUUUGUAUAGCUAAAGUUAUUUUUGCUCAUUUAAAAGCAAACAACCCAUCGAACCGCGCCGUGCACACCUUUAAAAUCACUAAUGUACGUGUUACCCGCCGCAACGCGCGGGCACGCCACUAGUUAUUUAAAAAGAAUGAAAUAUUGUCAAUUUCGGGAACUAUAUAUACACGUGCACUAAUG